This is a long non-coding RNA of Teleopsis dalmanni, 475 nucleotides long. RefSeq lists it as uncharacterized. The transcript has 3 exons. NCBI's taxonomy places the organism in Eukaryota, Metazoa, Arthropoda, Insecta, Diptera, Diopsidae. The record is from RefSeq and is a predicted model, not a curated record.
AAAUUUAUUAAUUAAUAGUGAAAAUAAAAGAAAAAAUUAAAGAAAAACUGAUUUAUUCAUCUUUAAGCACACACAUCAAGUCCAAAGAACCUAUUUGAUAUUUGCUUCCUUAACCCUUCAUAUCAAGGCUGAUUGUGAUUAAAAUGGCUAUUUUAGAUUUGCAACUCGAAGAAUCUACUCUGCAUCCAGAAGUACUAUUAACAAUAAAGGAAUAUCUUCAUGAAGGCAUUGUUGGCAUGAACACUAUGGAUAAACUUAUCAAAUUUUUACAAAAUAAAUUGAACAAUUCAGGAUUGUCAAAUUAUUUUGUCGCCUGUAAUGAGAAUGAUUUCAUUUUGACUGAGGCAUAUCAUCUACAAUAUGCAGUAAUCAGAUAUGGGUUUGACAUAAUACAAGUGAUCAGAACUCAUUAAAAUAUGUAUUAUACUUGUAGAAACCCAGCAAAAUGGAAAAAUUUUAAUAAUAAUAAACUUGC